Molecule: ribosomal RNA, 503 nt
Filed under: uncultured bacterium
Lineage: Bacteria
Description: bacterial SSU rRNA
Rfam family: Bacterial small subunit ribosomal RNA
Source: RNAcentral
AGAGUUUGAUCAUGGCUCAGAUUGAACGCUGGCGGCAUGCCUUACACAUGCAAGUCGAACGGCAGCGGACCUUCGGGUGCCGGCGAGUGGCGAACGGGUGAGUAAAGUAUCGGAACGUACCUUUCAGUGGGGGAUAACGUAGCGAAAGUUACGCUAAUACCGCAUAUUCUGUGAGCAGGAAAGCAGGGGAUCGCAAGACCUUGCGCUGAUUGAGCGGCCGAUAUCAGAUUAGCUAGUUGGUGAGGUAAAAGCUCACCAAGGCGACGAUCUGUAGCGGGUCUGAGAGGAUGAUCCGCCACACUGGAACUGAGACACGGUCCAGACUCCUACGGGAGGCAGCAGUGGGGAAUUUUUGGACAAUGGGGGCAACCCUGAUCCAGCCAUGCCGCGUGAGUGAAGAAGGCCUUCGGGUUGUAAAGCUCUUUCGGCCGGGAAGAAAUCGUGUGGGCUAAUAUCCCAUAUGGAUGACGGUACCGGAGUAAGAAGCACCGGCUAACUACGUG